GUGCUUGCUUCAGCAGCACAUAUACUAAAAAUUGGAAUGAUACAGAGAUUAUCAUGGUCCCUAUGCAAGGAUGACACGCAAAUACAUGAAGAAAAAAUUGCAAAC
RNAcentral lists this small nuclear RNA (105 nucleotides) under Myotis davidii. Lineage: Eukaryota; Metazoa; Chordata; Mammalia; Chiroptera; Vespertilionidae. The record is from RNAcentral.